GGAAGCGAGGAUUGGAGGGGACCCAGAGAAAAACCCACAGAUGAUAAACUAGUCUGAAGCGUGGAAGAAAACACAGUUUCGGUGCUCUCUGUUAAUUGCUCAAACGCAGCCCUAGUAUGUUUUUAUUCUGUCCAGGCAGAUGUAAAGAUACAUCUGUACAGUUUAAGUGCAUUAGGAAGGCUUUGCUGUUUGCCAGUGGUAGCAAUUAAAAGGCAAAGGAGUCGUCCUAUGGUGGAGUCUACAAGGGCGUUGGAUGUCUGAUUGAGACGAUACUUAAGAAACACAGGUGGAACGAGGAGAAAACAAAAUCACACUUCUGAUCUGUGGGUCCUCAGGAGGCUGAUGGAUAAUCACAUUUGGCAGUUCCCCACACAGCUGCUCAGGAGAACCGAAGGCUCAGCGGGCGUCCUGCGAUCCCACGAGCGAGCCAGCUUCCUCUUCCACACCCAGGAACUCGAGAGCUGAUGUAGGGUCCGAGAUGAGGAGCACCAGACCCAAUGCGACUCUCCCUCUGUGUAUCUUGCACAGCAAUGGCUUGUUCGGUACAUUUGUUACAUACAGUAGGUCUGUACGCUGCAGUUUUAUGUGUUCUCUAUGUAGGGCCCCAGAGAGAACAGCUGUGCUGCCAUAGACUUUAUAAAUGAAAUACAUUGUAGAAGAAAAAACAUUACAAAGCCACUGUUUCUCACUCUGUGCUUUAGUCCAACAGCCCGGCUUGCUGUGAUCAUUCUUCAUUACACUGAGUUUGUAAUUUACCAUCGCUAUUUUGAGUUGGUUUACUUAGCGAUUUACAGCCCCUGGUUUUAUCUCUCAUAAUCUUUUUACCUCACAGUUCAGAACUGCUUUCUCCUUUUCUAAGCAGACAGUAUUUAAGAAGACAAACUAUGAUGGUUUGGCUAAUGAGUUUGAUAAGAUAUCAAAAAUACAAACACACACAUUUUCGCACCAUACGCUAGUUGUAUUUUUACAAUUAUAACGGUGUUUUAUUGUGGGGGGUUGCAGUCACACUGAAUAGCGUUUCUGGAUUCAUUUUAGAAUGACAAUGGAUUAUUAUGCACGAAGCAUUACAUUUGCAAAUGAAGUCUGGAUUCAAAAUUAAGUUUGGAUUCUUUUUGCAUUCAUUUUCCUGUAACCGUUUCACAUUAUAAAGGCAUUCAUUAAACAGUCACUGUAUAUUGAUGACAGUAUUUACAGUUACUUUUCAUUUAAGAAAGCCAUCAAUUGAAAAGACGUGCAAGUGGUGAGGAGAAAGCCAUCCUGAGAAAUGACAUGAUGCGGAUUUCUAGAGCAUUGCUCCACUUGCUCGGUGCAGUAUUUGCAGGCUGUGGACCUCAUGCUGAAAGGCACUGGGCAUCAGAGAAAUGUCAGGACCCAGAGCAGGCACACCUAGCUCCCUGAGCAUCUGCCCAAGACCAGCCCCUGGUUGGUGGAAAGUGAUUGCGUCUCCUGAUCAAAGGUGUGCCUUGACGUGACUCAGUCAGGAACAGGUGCUCCUAACAGCCAUCGCGAGGACCCCUGCCAGCUCACUAACAGAGAAACCUGCUUAGAUGUGAUAUACGUCUCUAAUAGAGGGAACUACUAGACCAAGGCUGUUAGCAGCUCAUUCAGGUAUUUUUAGCUCAUUGGUAGAGCACUCAGCUAUGAGCUAGAACAUACAGCACUCAGUUCUAGGUCACAUAAACAAAUCCUGCUUUGAAAAAAAAAAUAAUAAUCACUUGAUCAUUCACGACCAUGACACGCUUGAGUGACUAUGACUGAAGCAUAUGCGCUUAAUCACCUAAUUAGUGAGACAGUUGAUUGGACUCUGGAUAUGGAGUGAUUUCAGCUGUUGAAUAAAGCUUGAAUAAAAGCAAUAAAGAAAAUCACAGAAAAAAAAAAACAAUAUGCCACGUCUGGCAAGAGAGCAGCGCCUUCGUGCGAUCGGCAUGUUGGAGGCUGGACUAGGGCAGCGUGCUGUGGCUCGAGACGGUAUAACCAGACACACUCUGUCAAUGACAGCCCACGAACCGGGAGACCAAGAGUCACACCACCAGCCCAAGAUCGACAGAUCAUUCUGCAGCAUCUUCGUGAUGUCAA
Molecule: long non-coding RNA, 2076 nt
Organism: Acipenser ruthenus (sterlet)
Lineage: Eukaryota; Metazoa; Chordata; Actinopteri; Acipenseriformes; Acipenseridae
Exons: 3
Source: RefSeq, a predicted model, not a curated record